GACGAACGCUGGCGGCGCGCCUAACACAUGCAAGUCGAACGAGCGAGAGAGAGCUUGCUUUCUCGAGCGAGUGGCGAACGGGUGAGUAACGCGUGAGGAACCUGCCUCAAAGAGGGGGACAACAGUUGGAAACGACUGCUAAUACCGCAUAAGCCCACGGUGCCGCAUGGCACAGAGGGAAAAGGAGCAAUCCGCUUUGAGAUGGCCUCGCGUCCGAUUAGCUAGUUGGUGAGGUAACGGCCCACCAAGGCAACGAUCGGUAGCCGGACUGAGAGGUUGAACGGCCACAUUGGGACUGAGACACGGCCCAGACUCCUACGGGAGGCAGCAGUGGGGAAUAUUGCACAAUGGGGGAAACCCUGAUGCAGCGACGCCGCGUGGAGGAAGAAGGUCUUCGGAUUGUAAACUCCUGUUGUUGGGGAAGAUAAUGACGGUACCCAACAAGGAAGUGACGGCUAACUACGUGCCAGCAGCCGCGGUAAAACGUAGGUCACAAGCGUUGUCCGGAAUUACUGGGUGUAAAGGGAGCGCAGGCGGGAAGACAAGUUGGAAGUGAAAUCUAUGGGCUCAAACCCAUAAACUGCUUUCAAAACUGUUUUUCUUGAGUAGUGCAGAGGUAGGCGGAAUUCCCGGUGUAGCGGUGGAAUGCGUAGAUAUCGGGAGGAACACCAGUGGCGAAGGCGGCCUACUGGGCACCAACUGACGCUGAGGCUCGAAAGUGUGGGUAGCAAACAGGAUUAGAUACCCUGGUAGUCCACACCGUAAACGAUGAUUACUAGGUGUUGGAGGAUUGACCCCUUCAGUGCCGCAGUUAACACAAUAAGUAAUCCACCUGGGGAGUACGACCGCAAGGUUGAAACUCAAAGGAAUUGACGGGGGCCCGCACAAGCAGUGGAGUAUGUGGUUUAAUUCGACGCAACGCGAAGAACCUUACCAAGUCUUGACAUCCUGCGACGGUGCUGGAAACAGUACUUUCCUUCGGGACGCAGAGACAGGUGGUGCAUGGUUGUCGUCAGCUCGUGUCGUGAGAUGUUGGGUUAAGUCCCGCAACGAGCGCAACCCUUAUGGUCAGUUACUACGCAAGAGGACUCUGGCCAGACUGCCGUUGACAAAACGGAGGAAGGUGGGGAUGACGUCAAAUCAUCAUGCCCUUUAUGACUUGGGCUACACACGUACUACAAUGGCGUUAAACAAAGAGAAGCAAGACCGCGAGGUGGAGCAAAACUCAGAAACAACGUCCCAGUUCGGACUGCAGGCUGCAACUCGCCUGCUACGAAGUUCGGAAUUGCUAGUAAUUCGUGGAAUCAGCAUGCCACGGUGAAUACGUUUCCCGGGCCU
Molecule: ribosomal RNA, 1338 nt
Filed under: uncultured bacterium
Lineage: Bacteria
Description: bacterial SSU rRNA
Rfam family: Bacterial small subunit ribosomal RNA
Source: RNAcentral